Molecule: ribosomal RNA, 675 nt
Filed under: Pseudomonas sp. CP_39
Lineage: Bacteria; Pseudomonadati; Pseudomonadota; Gammaproteobacteria; Pseudomonadales; Pseudomonadaceae
Description: bacterial SSU rRNA
Rfam family: Bacterial small subunit ribosomal RNA
Source: RNAcentral
UGCAAGUCGAGCGGUAGAGAGAAGCUUGCUUUUCUUGAGAGCGGCGGACGGGUGAGUAAUGCCUAGGAAUCUGCCUAGUGGUGGGGGAUAACGUUCGGAAACGGACGCUAAUACCGCAUACGUCCUACGGGAGAAAGCGGGGGAUCUUCGGACCUCGCGCCAUUAGAUGAGCCUAGGUCGGAUUAGCUAGUUGGUGAGGUAAUGGCUCACCAAGGCGACGAUCCGUAACUGGUCUGAGAGGAUGAUCAGUCACACUGGAACUGAGACACGGUCCAGACUCCUACGGGAGGCAGCAGUGGGGAAUAUUGGACAAUGGGCGAAAGCCUGAUCCAGCCAUGCCGCGUGUGUGAAGAAGGUCUUCGGAUUGUAAAGCACUUUAAGUUGGGAGGAAGGGCAGUAACCUAAUACGUUAUUGUUUUGACGUUACCGACAGAAUAAGCACCGGCUAACUUCGUGCCAGCAGCCGCGGUAAUACGAAGGGUGCAAGCGUUAAUCGGAAUUACUGGGCGUAAAGCGCGCGUAGGUGGUUCAGUAAGUUGGAAGUGAAAUCCCCGGGCUCAACCUGGGAACUGCUUUCAAAACUGCUGAGCUAGAGUACGGUAGAGGGUGGUGGAAUUUCCUGUGUAGCGGUGAAAUGCGUAGAUAUAGGAAGGAACACCAGUGGCGAAGGCGACC